GAAGAUGUUGGUAACUCAAUACGACAGGAUGUUCUGCGAUAUGUCUAGAUAUGCGCCGGAACAAGUUGACACAGAUGAGAAGAUGGCUGAAAAGUUUUGUGCCGGACUGAGGCAAGAGAUUAGAAUGGCUUGGGCAAGCCAUGGUGGAUCGUCUUACGUGGAGUCGCUUAGCAAAGCGUUAUGCAUUGAGGCAGCAAUGCUGGGAGAGAUACCAGCAACUGCGCCUACGUCUGCACCUCCACAAACUCGGG
This 251-nucleotide long non-coding RNA is filed under the name Salvia miltiorrhiza (redroot sage). RNAcentral describes it as "long non-coding RNA (SMIL_LNC003995)". Lineage: Eukaryota; Viridiplantae; Streptophyta; Magnoliopsida; Lamiales; Lamiaceae. The record is from RNAcentral.